RNAcentral lists this transfer RNA (84 nucleotides) under Echinostoma caproni. It matches the Rfam family "tRNA". From Rfam's summary of the family: Transfer RNA (tRNA) molecules are approximately 80 nucleotides in length. Their secondary structure includes four short double-helical elements and three loops (D, anti-codon, and T loops). Further hydrogen bonds mediate the characteristic L-shaped molecular structure. tRNAs have two regions of fundamental functional importance: the anti-codon, which is responsible for specific mRNA codon recognition, and the 3' end, to which the tRNAs corresponding amino acid is attached (by aminoacyl-tRNA synthetases). tRNAs cope with the degeneracy of the genetic code in two manners: having more than one tRNA (with a specific anti-codon) for a particular amino acid; and 'wobble' base-pairing, i.e. permitting non-standard base-pairing at the 3rd anti-codon position. Lineage: Eukaryota; Metazoa; Platyhelminthes; Trematoda; Plagiorchiida; Echinostomatidae. The record is from Rfam by way of RNAcentral.
GGCCUCGUUGCGCAGCUGUUAGAGCAUGCGCUAUACAAAAGCGUUCCCGGCGUACAUGCGUGGGUUCGAAUCCCACCGAGGCUA